Tetranychus urticae (two-spotted spider mite) is the source of this 74-nucleotide transfer RNA. It matches the Rfam family "tRNA". From Rfam's summary of the family: Transfer RNA (tRNA) molecules are approximately 80 nucleotides in length. Their secondary structure includes four short double-helical elements and three loops (D, anti-codon, and T loops). Further hydrogen bonds mediate the characteristic L-shaped molecular structure. tRNAs have two regions of fundamental functional importance: the anti-codon, which is responsible for specific mRNA codon recognition, and the 3' end, to which the tRNAs corresponding amino acid is attached (by aminoacyl-tRNA synthetases). tRNAs cope with the degeneracy of the genetic code in two manners: having more than one tRNA (with a specific anti-codon) for a particular amino acid; and 'wobble' base-pairing, i.e. permitting non-standard base-pairing at the 3rd anti-codon position. The record is from Rfam. NCBI's taxonomy places the organism in Eukaryota, Metazoa, Arthropoda, Arachnida, Trombidiformes, Tetranychidae.
GCCGUCGUGGCGCAAUCGGAUAGCGCGUUUGGCUGUUAACCAAAAGGUUGGUGGUUCGAGCCCACCCGAUGGCG